AAAAAUGAACAAAGGCUAACAACGCCACUUCCUGUGGCAACGCCUUAGUGACCUACAUCCUGUAG
This 65-nucleotide small RNA is filed under the name Bacillus massilioanorexius. RNAcentral describes it as "Bacillaceae-1 RNA". It matches the Rfam family "Bacillaceae-1 RNA". The record is from RNAcentral. Lineage: Bacteria; Bacillati; Bacillota; Bacilli; Caryophanales; Bacillaceae.